This 333-nucleotide ribosomal RNA is filed under the name Triticum aestivum (bread wheat). RNAcentral's name for it is "partial small subunit ribosomal RNA". Lineage: Eukaryota; Viridiplantae; Streptophyta; Magnoliopsida; Poales; Poaceae. The record is from RNAcentral.
UUGGAUCCGCCAGUUUGGUUCCUCAAAAUGAUCGAUAGGCUGAGACGAGGCUUCCUUUGGGCGGCAGACGAGUCCUCGCUGGGCGGCAAGUGCCUCGUGAGCUGGAAGCAGGUUUGCAGGCCGCGCGAGUUUGGUGGCCUUGGGGUGCACGAUCUGCAGCGCCAAGGGGCCGCACUCCGCGCUCGCUGGUACUGGAACAGUUGGAUCGAUGACUCCAGGCCUUGGCGCGAGUUGGUGCUACCCCAUGACCCAGCGGCUGAGGGUAUUUUCAGAGCAUCCAUGGAGAUAGUCAUCGGCGACGGAAGGAAAACGAGCUUCUGGCGCUCGCACUGG